ACAGUGGCCGACGCGGGUCGAAGUUUAAGCAUCUGUUCUUAUCAGCUUAAUAUCUAAUACGGGCUUGUAUUUGGAACCAAGUUAUUAAAUUUAUUUUUGGAAAUUGGCGCAAAGCUUGAAGCCUGCUUCACCUCCGCCACGGGUUGGCCCGGUAUUUCACUAUCUUCAGGGAUCGGCCCACGUUUU
Small nuclear RNA from Dermacentor silvarum, 186 nucleotides. RefSeq annotates it as U2 spliceosomal RNA. NCBI's taxonomy places the organism in Eukaryota, Metazoa, Arthropoda, Arachnida, Ixodida, Ixodidae. The transcript has a single exon. The record is from RefSeq and is a predicted model, not a curated record.